CCUACGGGUGGCAGCAGUGAGGAAUAUUGGUCAAUGGACGAGAGUCUGAACCAGCCAAGUAGCGUGAAGGAUGACUGCCCUAUGGGUUGUAAGCUUCUUUUAUAUGGGAAUAAAAUGUUCCACGUGUGGGAUUUUGUAUGUACCAUAUGAAUAAGGAUCGGCUAACUCCGUGCCAGCAGCCGCGGUAAUACGGAGGAUGCGAGCGUGAUCCGGAUUUAGUGGGUGGAAAGGGGGCGUAGGUGGAUUGUUAAGUCAGUUGUGAAAGUGUGCGGCUCAACCGUAAAAUUGCAGUUGAAACUGGCAGUCUUGAGUACAGUAGAGGUGGGCGGAAUUCGUGGUGUAGCGGUGAAAUGCUUAGAUAUCACGAAGAACUCCGAUUGCGAAGGCAGCUCACUGGACUGCAACUGACACUGAGGCUCGAAAGUGUGGGUAUCAAACAGGUUUAGAUACCCGAGUAGUC
This 460-nucleotide ribosomal RNA is filed under the name uncultured bacterium. RNAcentral describes it as "partial 16S ribosomal RNA". It matches the Rfam family "Bacterial small subunit ribosomal RNA", at positions 338 to 795 of the family's 1533-position model. The record is from RNAcentral.